AUUGAACGCUGGCGGCAUGCCUUACACAUGCAAGUCGAACGGCAGCGGACCUUCGGGUGCCGGCGAGUGGCGAACGGGUGAGUAAUGCAUCGGAACGUGCCAUUGAGUGGGGAUAACGUAGCGAAAGUUACGCUAAUACCGCAUAUUCUGUGAGCAGGAAAGCAGGGGACCGCAAGGCCUUGCGCUCUUUGAGCGGCCGAUGUCAGAUUAGCUAGUUGGUGAGGUAAAGGCUUACCAAGGCGACGAUCUGUAGCGGGUCUGAGAGGAUGGUCGGCCACACUGGGACUGAGACACGGCCCAGACUCCUACGGGAGGCAGCAGUUGGGAAUCUUGGGCAAUGGGCGAAAGCCUGACCGAGCGACGCCGCGUGAGGGACGAAGGCCUUCGGGUUGUAAACCUCUGUCUGGGGGGGAUGAGAACGGACGGUACCCCCGGAGGAAGCCCCGGCUAACUACGUG
RNAcentral lists this ribosomal RNA (458 nucleotides) under uncultured bacterium. RNAcentral describes it as "bacterial SSU rRNA". It matches the Rfam family "Bacterial small subunit ribosomal RNA", at positions 28 to 507 of the family's 1533-position model. The record is from RNAcentral.